RNAcentral lists this ribosomal RNA (801 nucleotides) under Bacillus subtilis. Its description in RNAcentral is "bacterial SSU rRNA". It matches the Rfam family "Bacterial small subunit ribosomal RNA", at positions 456 to 1256 of the family's 1533-position model. The record is from RNAcentral. Lineage: Bacteria; Bacillati; Bacillota; Bacilli; Caryophanales; Bacillaceae.
AAUAGGGCGGUACCUGACGGUACCUAACCAGAAGCCACGGCUAACUACGUGCCAGCAGCCGCGGUAAUACGUAGGUGGCAAGCGUUGUCCGGAAUUAUUGGGCGUAAAGGGCUCGCAGGCGGUUUCUUAAGUCUGAUGUGAAAGCCCCCGGCUCAACCGGGGAGGGUCAUUGGAAACUGGGGAACUUGAGUGCAGAAGAGGAGAGUGGAAUUCCACGUGUAGCGGUGAAAUGCGUAGAGAUGUGGAGGAACACCAGUGGCGAAGGCGACUCUCUGGUCUGUAACUGACGCUGAGGAGCGAAAGCGUGGGGAGCGAACAGGAUUAGAUACCCUGGUAGUCCACGCCGUAAACGAUGAGUGCUAAGUGUUAGGGGGUUUCCGCCCCUUAGUGCUGCAGCUAACGCAUUAAGCACUCCGCCUGGGGAGUACGGUCGCAAGACUGAAACUCAAAGGAAUUGACGGGGGCCCGCACAAGCGGUGGAGCAUGUGGUUUAAUUCGAAGCAACGCGAAGAACCUUACCAGGUCUUGACAUCCUCUGACAAUCCUAGAGAUAGGACGUCCCCUUCGGGGGCAGAGUGACAGGUGGUGCAUGGUUGUCGUCAGCUCGUGUCGUGAGAUGUUGGGUUAAGUCCCGCAACGAGCGCAACCCUUGAUCUUAGUUGCCAGCAUUCAGUUGGGCACUCUAAGGUGACUGCCGGUGACAAACCGGAGGAAGGUGGGGAUGACGUCAAAUCAUCAUGCCCCUUAUGACCUGGGCUACACCACGUGCCUACAAUGGCCCAGCCCACCAACAGCGCCUUA